Molecule: long non-coding RNA, 1096 nt
Organism: Pseudoliparis swirei
Lineage: Eukaryota; Metazoa; Chordata; Actinopteri; Perciformes; Liparidae
Exons: 2
Source: RefSeq, a predicted model, not a curated record
UGUUGUGGUAAUGUUAUUUCAACCUGCUAGCUAGCAGAUAGAUUAUGCUAAUCUUAGCUGUGGUAAUGUCAUUUCUACCUGCUAGCGAGCUAAAUCUGGUUAAAACAUUAGGUAACAAAGUAAGAUUAAUUACUGUAGAUUAAUCACUGUAUUUUAGUGAUUGUUAAUGGUUAGUGGUUAUCUUUCAAAUGAUGCCUGUGAGGCACUUGACGUUGAGACUGGUUGACUUCCAGGCUGCUUUGGAAUAAGGAUACCUCUGAGGCAGCCACCAGUUUUUGGAUAACUCUGAGGCAUCAUAGGUAGUGUUGACUGCCAGGCUGCCUAGUCGUUGGUAUACAGGUUAACUCACAGGCAUCCAGUUGGUUUUAGAUACCUGUAAGGCAUCUAGACGGACAUUAAGAGGGGCUGACUCCCAGGCUGCUUACUAACACUGGUUAGCUCUCAGGCAGCCAAUUAGCUUUGGAUGCCUUUGAGGCACCUGACGUUGAGACUGGUUGACUUCCAGGCUGCUUUGGAAUAAGGAUACCUCUGAGGCAGCCACCAGUUUUUGGAUAACUCUGAGGCAUCAUAGGUAGUGUUGACUACUUUAUAUCAAUAAAGAACUACUUUAAAGACUUUAAAGACUACUUUAUAUCAAUAAAGAACUUCAGAAAGCCAGCUCCAAACUAUUACACCCCAGUGUCAAUAAGUGUUUCAUUGUCACAUUGGUAUGUGCAUCAAAUCUGAAUUUAAUACUGUGUUCGUGUCAUGAUAUGUCUUUCCCAUUUUUGUUAAGGCGACGCCAAGGACCUGUGCUCCUCCGUCGGUGCUCUGGCUGCCAGGAGCAUCGAAUUUAAAGAAGUGGCCAUGCUGCCGGCAUCAGACCCCACUGUGGCCACAGGGAGAGCCACGGAGUUCAAACAACAGCUCCAGCACCUCGCCAACCAGGUGAGGUCAAAUGAUCAAUUUGACCUCCUCACGCACACCUUGGGGCCAGGAAUGGUAGAGGUGGUGGUGGAUAUUUUUAAAAAGUGUGUUGACACACACAUUGAAAAUAUUAACAAUUAGCAAUUUGUUGUUUGUUGUGUUCAUUAAUUAAAUAUCUUCAUGUUCUACA